Vicia villosa (hairy vetch) is the source of this 2183-nucleotide long non-coding RNA. RefSeq lists it as uncharacterized. NCBI's taxonomy places the organism in Eukaryota, Viridiplantae, Streptophyta, Magnoliopsida, Fabales, Fabaceae. The transcript has 11 exons. The record is from RefSeq and is a predicted model, not a curated record.
UCAAUUUUCUUAUAAAAAAUCAUUUGUUCACUUUGACAUUUAAAAUAAAAAUUGUGAGAGAAUUUAAAUAAAAAUAACAAAAAGUCUUUUGUCAUUUGCUUUUUUAUUAAGGACUUUUCCAAUUGAAAUCACUCAACCUCUCUUUCUCUUCGAGCUCAAUCCCUCUCGGUCUCAAACAAUUUCUCUCAGCUUUAGAAGAUUUGUGUCUUUCUCUGGCGCUCAAUAAGUGAUAGAGAAAAGUUGUUGGUGGUGGAUGACGGUGCACUCUUGUUCUUCUGAAAAUAAUCGCUUAUUCGGAUAAUCUCGCCGCACGUAUACUUCGGAGCUCUGAUAGUUGGAAUCGGGAUUGACUCUUCAUUGUAGAUUUGAUUGUGUUGUGCAUCCUCGUUUGAUUUUGGUAUAUGGAAUUUGCGGUUAUUAGCGAUGGAAAAAAUGAACGGGACUGGAAACGAAAGUUUUAGCAGCACGAAUAUGGAAUGCAUUAGAAUAGCAUUCCAUAUUUCUGAUUCUCUGAUCUAUACAAUCACAUUUCAAUUUUUAUUUUUUCUAAAGAAUUGAGAGUGUGUCUAACAAUAUCGUUAAAUUGGAUAUCAUUUUUAGGGUUCCUGUUUCAGUUGUGUCUCGAAAGACAAUCUCCAUGAUAAUAAGUGAGGCAAUGUCGUCCAUGAAGGUGAAGGAUUGGUCGCUCUUGAAUGACCUACAUGUAUUCUUUAAAAGGGAGUGGUGCUUACUGCCAACUAUACACAGCUCAAUCCAGAUAUGGUCAAAACGUAAAGUUGAGUACUAAUUAUUCUGGAGCUUCCAUUGGAGGACAUGAUGUUGCCCAGCAUUCUACAGCUUCAAGGCAUUCAGGUUCCUUAAUUUAUUACCAAGGGAGCUGCUUCGUCAGCUUUUGAUGCUCGUGGAGGGUAUUCUUUAGGUGUUUUAGAUUAACCCAUGUUUGCUUCAGGUGACUAUGUUCCAUCUUCAAGCCAUGGGUAUACAAAUCCGAUCAAUUGUAUGGUGACAAGAGUUUGGAUUAUUCUGGAAUAGAUAGAAGGUAGUAUGAAGAACAACCGAGUGGUUACGUCAGUAGGGAUUUACCAAGUGAUCAAAUUGGAUGCUAUUCUACUGAUGUUAUUGGAUACUGUCAUCAACAUCAGGCAACUUUGCUUCGACAAGAGCAAUUCCUGCAAUCUCAGUCUCUACAAGCUGCCUCACUGAAUGCUGAAAAUGAGGACGAGACCGAAGAGCAAAAAGAUUCAAAGAAAAUUGAGCAACAGUCGGGUGAAUCAUGGUGUUGGAAAUGUGCUAUCAGAUAUUUCUUCUGAAAAAGUGUGUCAUGUAGAGAGAACUCUUCUAUAAACUGCGGCGUGAUUCGCCGCAUCCGUCUCCUUCUCAAACGGAUGUCACAAGACAAUCCAAGCAUUUCUUCAAUGCAAGAAAUACAAUCUUGGAAUCAUGGCAUCUAGCCGAGGACUCAUUGUUGGACGUCUGAUUAUGCAGGUUAUCCAGAUAUGGCCACAAGGUACCCUGCAUAGUAGUGUGCAGUAUAAAUAAUUAAAUUGCAUAAAAGCUUUGAUGUUAUGCUUUUAGAAGUUAUGCUAUAAUUACAUUGGAUAUUAUACCACUGAGCUCAAUUCGCCGAAAAACGAAAGUCAGACAUGUAACCCGGCUGCCAGGACCAGCGACCAAAUUCUCCAGUUUCAUUUUUUAUGAAUGGCUGCACCAUUAUUAAGAAACCACUCCACAUCGUCGGUAUUCAAUUUGUUCACCAAUGUUGUUCAUCGUUUCUCUUCUGGUUUGCGAACACCAUUCCUGAUGAGGCGCGUGAGAGUGAUGUAUUCUGACAUAAACUCGUAGAUUUGGAAGUUGCAUGCCUCACUCUACAAUGAGAAUUGGAACAAUCAUUAACAACAUCAAGCUGAACCCAAGGUAAGACGAAAAGCUAGUCCGGGUAGCUGGAACCAAUGCAAAGAUCUUGAAGGAGCCCUCAUCGGCGUACUGUUGAGUUCAACUUCCAUCUGGGCACACUAUGAGGUUGUCGAUGUAGUGCACACUAUAACGUUUGAAUAUAACUUUAAUUGUAGAUGCUUUUGACGCAUCAGAAUGGUGAGAUCACUACAUCUUAUACAUCUUAUAAUUGACUAAUAUUAUUGAUUUAGGCCUUACAUUAAUUUAUGAUGUAAUAUUUUAUUUUGUUA